AUUGAACGCUGGCGGCAGGCCUAACACAUGCAAGUCGAACGGUAACAGGAAGCAGCUUGCUGCUUUGCUGACGAGUGGCGGACGGGUGAGUAAUGUCUGGGAAACUGCCCGAUGGAGGGGGAUAACUACUGGAAACGGUAGCUAAUACCGCAUAACGUCGCAAGACCAAAGAGGGGGACCUUAGGGCCUCUUGCAUUCGGAUGUGCCCAGAUGGGAUUAGCUAGUAGGUGGGGUAACGGCUCACCUAGGCGACGAUCCCUAGCUGGUCUGAGAGGAUGACCAGCCACACUGGAACUGAGACACGGUCCAGACUCCUACGGGAGGCAGCAGUGGGGAAUAUUGCACAAUGGGCGCAAGCCUGAUGCAGCCAUGCCGCGUGUAUGAAGAAGGCCUUCGGGUUGUAAAGUACUUUCAGCGGGGAGGAAGGGAGUAAAGUUAAUACCUUUGCUCAUUGACGUUACCCGCAGAAGAAGCACCGGCUAACUCCGUG
This 490-nucleotide ribosomal RNA is filed under the name uncultured bacterium. RNAcentral describes it as "partial 16S ribosomal RNA". It matches the Rfam family "Bacterial small subunit ribosomal RNA", at positions 30 to 507 of the family's 1533-position model. The record is from RNAcentral.